ACUCCUACGGGAGGCAGCAGUGGGGAAUAUUGCACAAUGGGCGCAAGCCUGAUGCAGCCAUGCCGCGUGUGUGAAGAAGGCCUUCGGGUUGUAAAGCACUUUCAGUCGUGAGGAAGGUAGUGUAGUUAAUAGCUGCAUUAUUUGACGUUAGCGACAGAAGAAGCACCGGCUAACUCCGUGCCAGCAGCCGCGGUAAUACGGAGGGUGCGAGCGUUAAUCGGAAUUACUGGGCGUAAAGCGCAUGCAGGUGGUUUGUUAAGUCAGAUGUGAAAGCCCGGGGCUCAACCUCGGAAUAGCAUUUGAAACUGGCAGACUAGAGUACUGUAGAGGGGGUAGAAUUUCAGGUGUAGCGGUGAAAUGCGUAGAGAUCUGAAGGAAUACCGGUGGCGAAGGCGGCCCCCUGGACAGAUACUGACACUCAGAUGCGAAAGCGUGGGGAGCAAACAGGAUUAGAUACCCUGGUAGGAUAGCC
RNAcentral lists this ribosomal RNA (472 nucleotides) under uncultured bacterium. Its description in RNAcentral is "bacterial SSU rRNA". It matches the Rfam family "Bacterial small subunit ribosomal RNA", at positions 335 to 796 of the family's 1533-position model. The record is from RNAcentral.